RNAcentral lists this long non-coding RNA (4711 nucleotides) under Sus scrofa (pig). RNAcentral describes it as "lncRNA (ENSSSCG00040025856.1)". Lineage: Eukaryota; Metazoa; Chordata; Mammalia; Artiodactyla; Suidae. The record is from RNAcentral.
GGCUUCCUGGCACACUGUUCUGGGAAAUGCUUAAGAACAACUACCUUCAAGGAGCUCACAGUCUGGACUGUAAGACCUGAGAAGACAGCCCAAAGCAUCCUCAGAGACCACUUAGUCAAACUUUUCGACUGGCUGCUGAGAACUAAGAGCUAAGAGUUAGCAGACGGACCAGAAUGAAGACCCACAUGUCCGCAUCCCAGACCUGACAUCCCCCUACCAAUCUCCCUCACUGUUGCUGCUGUCCGCAGCCUCCUCAGCCUUCUGCAUCGUUGUGUCCACAAGGAAGCAAAGGUUAAGCAAUCCAGAGAGUGACCCCAUGUCCUCCCAGGAGCAAGUCUGCUGCUGCAGCCUUCAAGCAUGUGUUUGCCCCCUAAUAACGCUGGCAGUGGAAAGCACCAGUCAUCUGGGGAUGAGGACACAGGCAGCAAGAAGAUUAAAUGAGAUACUGAACAGAAAAGGCACAGUGCAUGCAUCUGUGGAGGACUCACUCCAGAUGAAUUGUCUUCCUCCCCUUGGAAAUUCCACAUGACUGCCCAACACGCUGCUUUGUCAUAUUACUAAAGAUUGCAUUUAAGAUGAGGGCUUCUAUCAUUUUGGUAAUCCAGAGGAGGAUGCUAUGGCACUAGAAGAUUGUGGAGUCAUUCAGUGGGAGAUGGUUGGAUACCUGAAUGGUUAUAUGGAGCCCAGAUCCUGGUCAACCAUCAAUGAACUAUAAGAGGAGUAAGCAGUAACCCUUCACUGUAUCAAGCCAAUGAUAUUUGAGGAUAAUUUAUACAGCCUUUAAACUGACUUCAAUAAUGAUACCUACUCAGUUUUCAAGAUGUCUUUCAAGGAUCCUUGUUUGGGUACCAAUCUCUGAUCUAACAUUCCCCCCUCUGCGGCAAGUCACUCAACCCCUCUGUAACUUGCCAAUGGUGGUAACAAUACCCUUUACGGGUAUUGUUUAUGAUGUUGAUUGAGGAUUAAAUGAGAUAAGCUAUGCAAAAUAUCUGGACCAAAGUGAAUUCAGCAUAAAGACCAGCUUUCAUUAUGAUCACCAUUAUCAUUCCAACUCUGAGACUCCAUAAUUGCUGAUUUCCAAAACUCAGAGCCAACAAUCCUGAGAAAUGGCCCUAAAUGUUUCCCCCACAGUUUUGAUGAAACAGUUUUAAAAUUUAGACUAUAAGAAAUCCAUGGAAUGCUACUGAUUAUAAAAAUCACGGUCAUGUCUUUCAUAAAAACAAUCUGAUGAAAAGCCAGUUUCGAUUGAAUGACCAUCAGGGUGUGAUCUUGGAGGCGAGAUGCUGAGGCAGCAGUUAUGAGGAGGAGUCGGGCACUGAAGAUGACAAACAUCAUGAGACCAAGUGUUAUUGUUAUCCUUCAUAUGCUCAAAACUUUGUCACUGAAAUAACACAGACCACUAACCAUCUGUUCCCCAAAAGCCAUGACUCAUGAAUUUCAUGCUCUUCAAAUCUAGUGCUUAAAAAAUCAUCAAGUAUGCAAAGUUGUUCCAAGAAAUCCCUACCUACUAAUUGUAUCCAGUGCUGUUAUUUGUUGUGUAUUCUCUCAACACUUACUGGGAUGUUUUGCUAGCUGUCCAACCAAAGCUGUAAUUAACUCAGUUUCCAUGGUGUCAUGGAUAAAGCACGGUCUUCGGCCAAAGACAAAAUUGCAUGGACUCCUGGAUCCAGUCCCAUAUUGUGUAUUUGAAAAUGUGUUAUUUCCUUUACCUCCUUCAGUCUCAAUGUCACUACAUAUAAGAUGGAGAUAAUGAUACAUCUCUUGUUAUAUUUUUGUAGUAAUUGGAGAUAAUUAAUUCAAAGUUACUGGCACAUGACAGGCACCCAAUAAAUAGUGAUAUUUUGAUUUUUGUCUAUCAACAUCUAUAGACACCUAUAGAUAUAUUUUUUCUCUUCUGCUAUUUUAGAGUCUAUAGAAUGGAAUGCUGAGAUAGCUAAAUAUUAUAAGGCUUAUGCUGUAAACUAUCAUGCAGAGUUUUGCCCACAACAUCUUAUAGUGUGUUUACUGAGUGCUUUCAUAUGAAUACCAGUGUAUGUUCUCCUUUACAUAUUUCCAUUUAUUGAGUUUAACUCUGAGCUUCAGAGAUCCACAAAGAAUGAUUUAAAUUAAAUUAUUUCUUUUCUUUUUUCUUUUUUUGUCUUUUUAGGGCUGCACCUGCAGCAUAUGGUGGUUCCCAGGCCAGAGGUCAAAUCGGAGCUUCAGCUGCUGGUCUAUACCACAGCCACAGCAACAUGGAAUCCGAGCCACGUCUGCGACCUACACCUAGGCAACUUGGGAUCCUUAACCCACUGAGGGAGGCCAGGGAUCGAACCUGCAACCUCAUGGUUCCUAGUUGGAUUCGUUUCUGCUGCGCCACAAAGGGAAAUCCAAAUUGUUGUGUAUUCCAAAUUAUUUCUUUUACAAAUUGUUGGGUAUUCCAAAUGAUUUCUUUUCUUUCAUGUAAAAGAAGUCUGGGAAUAGAUGAUUUUCAUGGCUGGUAUAAUGCCUCGAAGGUGUGAUAAAAAGAUAUAGUCUCCUUAUUCUUCUACUUUAUCAUCCUAAGAUAUUAAUUUCAUCCUCAGGCAACUUCGGGGUUAUAUAUGGUGUUUAGGUCUUUGACCAUUACAUUUGUAAGGCAUGUUGUAAAAACCACAAAGGCAGAAGGGCUGUUAGGAUGAAUCAGCUUUCUUCAAGUGGGCUUCUUGGAAGUUCCACAUAGCAUUCACUUGUACCUAGAACUUGAUCUUACAACUGAAACUAGCUAUAAGGGAGUCUAAGAAGUGUAGGCUUUUAUUUAUGGGUUUCAGUGUGCCAAACUAAAAGGUUGGGUUUCUAUUAUCAAAAUUAAUAAGGAAAUGCACGUUGGGACAAGACGGCAAACAAGACUGGAGGAAACUGGAAGCAUAGCCCAGCAGUUGUUAAGAGGGUUUAACCCAGGGACCAACUCCAUUUGGAGCAGAGGGUUGAGUGGUUCGCUAGAGCCAUAAAUAAGGAUAAUGUAGAAGAGUGCCAUGGAUGGUGCUCCCUGUGUGCAGGCUGAAGAUGGGUGACAGUAGUCACACCAUGGGCCUUGCCAUCCUUGGCUUAACCCAGAGGAGUGACAGGGUUUCACUUGGAAGAGUCGGUACUUUCACACAAUAAUAAUAGUAAAUAUUAGUGCUUUUUACUACAUCUUGAAAAAUGUUUCCCAAAUCAUUUUCUUAUUUGAUCCACCCCCCCGAGAAAAAAGUGGAAUAGACAGAGAUUAUUAUCAUCUGCAUUUGGCAGUUGAGAAAAAUAAACUCAAUUGGGGGAAGCAAGAUGCAUAAGGUCACGUCGCUAUCGAGUGGCAGAGCUGGAAUUUAAACUUCAGCCUCCUGACUGUAAGUAGGGAGCUAUUUAUAUUGGACUUGACAAGCACUUAGAAGUAGUUGGCUUUGGGGUCAGACACACACAGGCUUGAAUCCAUGCUCUACCCUUGCAGGAUCUUUUGGUUUUUAAAUGCAGUAGUAUUGAAUUUUUUUUUUUUUUUUUUGGUAUAGAGUUCUAUGAGUGUUAACAUAUGCAUAGAUCCUUGUAAACAUUACCACAAACAGGAUAUAGUACAUUUCAAACAUCUGAAGCAAUCCCCUUGUGUGGCCCUUUGGUAGGUUUUACUGUGAAGCUAGUGGGGGUGCUUCUGCCUGUGUUACUAUUGAUAGUCAAGAGUUCAAAAUGACAGUGAGGAGCCAGCUCAUUAUGAGUAUAUGAUAGGUAUAUUGUUCGGGAAAGACUGGGCUGCCAGUGACAGAAAGUAUAAAUAAAGAUGGCUUGAGGACAAAGGACACAUCUUAUCCUAUCUUAUAAUGAGAAGUCCACAGGCAGAGUGGGUUGCAGGUGUUCCUGGCUCGCUUCUCUAUGAUGCUCUUGGCUCCACAUAUUUGUUACAGAUGUUCCAGGUGUCACUGUCAGACGUAACAUAUCCAGAGGCAGAAAAGCACCAUCUUCUGCUCUUUCCUUCUCAGGAAUAAGAUAGUCUUGUCUAAAAGCUGCAGGGCAGAGUAUAUUUUUCGUGUUUCAAUGACCAAUAUUGAGUCGCACGUCUCUUGGUUCAUUAAUCAUGGGCAAGAGGAAUAGGACUUCCAUGAUUGACUUGUGCUGGUCAGGAUGCAAUGACUAAGGCUGGGGUGGGGUGCCAGCUUUCCACGAAGCAUGUAAGUGCAUGCUGGGUUCUGUUAAGAUGUGGGAAGUAGUGUUGCAGAUAAGGAGUAGGCAACAAACCGGAAGUACAGAGGUGGAUUCCUGCUGACAGCUCACUUUCCCCACCCUGGGCCACUGCCCCCCUCUCUGAAUCAGCACCAGGAGUUAAUUACCAGCCAGUUGGGGGCUUUCAAUCUUGUUAGAGCUUGUGUGUGUGUGUGUGUGUGUGUGUGUGUGUGUGUGUGUGUGUGUGUGUGUGUGUGAGUGUGUGAAGGAGCAAGGAGAGAUGUCAAAACAACUCCUAGGAAUAAUAUACGGAACAUACAUUGGCCAUACAGUGACAAGAGUAUCUUUUUGUCUCAUUGUAAAUAAAAUAAUCCCAUAAGAAAGCCAUUAGUCACAAAUCUCUGUAUCUUUCUUUCCAUUUUUCAGUCCCAGGCAGACAAUAAUUCCAAAUCCAAGCAAGGUCAAAAAGAAGAAAUUCGUUGAUUUGGAAUAAAGAACACGUAAUUUAUUCAAGUAUUUCCUUUUCACUGUGUAAGUUGCAAAAUAAAGAUGUUGUAUAAUUAGUGCA